Molecule: long non-coding RNA, 220 nt
Filed under: Helianthus annuus (common sunflower)
Lineage: Eukaryota; Viridiplantae; Streptophyta; Magnoliopsida; Asterales; Asteraceae
Description: sRNA HanXRQr2_Chr03g0108521
Source: RNAcentral
AUGGUUAGCAAUGUUCUUGAACGUCAUCUUGGGAACCAUGACGGGUCUCUUAUCGUGAUGAAGGCAGAAUUUGGCAUACCAACACCAUAUGAUAUGGUCCAUAUCAUAUAACAAGGGAAUGUUACUUCAUUAUAAGAAGUAAUGAGGUGGAUGAUCGUUGUUGGUUGAUUGUUGACGUGCCAUCAAAUCUCCCUAGAAAGCCAUCUGCCUGUCUAUGUGG